GGGACCGUAGCUCAGCUGGGAGAGUGCCUGCCUUACAAGCAGGAUGUCACAGGUUCAAGUCCUUAUUGCCG
RNAcentral lists this transfer RNA (71 nucleotides) under Desulfoscipio gibsoniae DSM 7213. RNAcentral's name for it is "Desulfotomaculum gibsoniae DSM 7213 tRNA". It matches the Rfam family "tRNA". From Rfam's summary of the family: Transfer RNA (tRNA) molecules are approximately 80 nucleotides in length. Their secondary structure includes four short double-helical elements and three loops (D, anti-codon, and T loops). The record is from Rfam by way of RNAcentral. Lineage: Bacteria; Bacillati; Bacillota; Clostridia; Eubacteriales; Desulfallaceae.